RNAcentral lists this long non-coding RNA (735 nucleotides) under Phoenix dactylifera (date palm). RNAcentral describes it as "long non-coding RNA (PDAC_LNC018614)". Lineage: Eukaryota; Viridiplantae; Streptophyta; Magnoliopsida; Arecales; Arecaceae. The record is from RNAcentral.
GAAGGGCAUAGUCAAAUCUCUUCUUGUUCGCCGCCUCUUUCUCAAACUCAUAGCAGCCCACGAAUGAAAUGAAGACAGCGUCAGUAGUCACCAUAUGAGUUUGGUCCAGAAGACCAAGGACCACACCGCCACAGGCGGCGCAAAUCUUUGAAACCUUGCAACCAACCUCCUCGUGAGAGCAAAAUGCCCACCAAACACAACAAUAGGAAGCCUCUCGAAGCCCAAUAUUUUUCUCUAUUUUUAGAACACCGCCUACCCACCUGUCUUCCUCUCAUUGGCCACGCUCGAUUGGUCAGACGCCGACAUAAGGGCGAAACCAGUGGCCUUCGGGGCACGCAAAAGCCAAACCGCGCCGUUUCCUGUCCUCGCUUAGGUUUCUUCGUUUAGCCAGCACUACUGAGUAGAGAGAUGGCGGAGCGGCUCUCAUCCACCGCGGCCUCCCGCCUCGGCGCCUGCCUCCUUCCCCCCGCCGCCGCCUCCUCCAAGCGGGCGUCCGUGACCCGAUCGUCCCUCCCCGUCCUCCCAUCUCCGCCUUGCGCCGCCGCCGGCCUCCGUUCCCGCCUCCUCCCUGCCGCCGGCCUCCGCCCCUCCUCGCCUCUCUCCUCCCUCCGCCUCGGUCUCUGCCAGGUUCGCCCUCUUAGCCACCGGUAGUUACAUUGAUCAGGAAAUCAGGAAAUUGAUCGUUUUUGGCUUAUGUAUUUUUCUCUUGGCUAUGUUGGAACUUGGAAUUCUUAG